UACGAAGGGGGCUAGCGUGGCUCGGAAUGACUGGGCGUAAAGGGCGCGUAGGCGGUUUGUACAGUCAGAUGUGAAAUUCCUGGGCUCAACCUGGGGGCUGCAUUUGAUACGUAUGGACUGGAGUGAGGAAGAGGGUCGUGGAAUUCCCAGUGUAGAGGUGAAAUUCGUAGAUAUUGGGAAGAACACCGGUGGCGAAGGCGGCGACCUGGUCCUUUACUGACGCUGAGGCGCGAAAGCGUGGGGAGCAAACAGG
RNAcentral lists this ribosomal RNA (253 nucleotides) under uncultured bacterium. RNAcentral describes it as "partial 16S ribosomal RNA". It matches the Rfam family "Bacterial small subunit ribosomal RNA", at positions 524 to 776 of the family's 1533-position model. The record is from RNAcentral.